RNAcentral lists this ribosomal RNA (579 nucleotides) under uncultured bacterium. RNAcentral's name for it is "bacterial SSU rRNA". It matches the Rfam family "Bacterial small subunit ribosomal RNA", at positions 102 to 668 of the family's 1533-position model. The record is from RNAcentral.
ACGGGUGCGUAACACGUGGGCAAUCUGCCUUAAAGUGGGGGAUAGCUCGGCGAAAGCCGAAUUAAUACCGCAUGUGAUCAGGGGAGACAUCUUCCCGAAAUCAAAGGUGGCGCAAGCUACUGCUUUUUGAGGAGCCCGCGGCCUAUCAGCUAGUUGGCGAGGUAACGGCUCACCAAGGCUUUGACGGGUAGCUGGUCUGAGAGGACGACCAGUCACACUGGAACUGAGACACGGUCCAGACACCUACGGGUGGCAGCAGUCGAGAAUUUUUCUCAAUGGGGGAAACCCUGAAGGAGCGACGCCGCGUGGAGGAUGAAGGUCUUCGGGUUGUAAACUCCUGUCAUUUGGGAACAAGUCGUACGUAGUAACUAUACGUGCGUUGAUAGUACCAGAAGAGGAAGGGACGGCUAACUCUGUGCCAGCAGCCGCGGUAAUACAGAGGUCUCAAGCGUUGUUCGGAUUCAUUGGGCGUAAAGGGUGUGUAGGUGGCGCCGUAAGUCGGGUGUGAAAUUUCGGAGCUUAACUCCGAAACUGCAUUCGAUACUGCGGUGCUUGAGGACUGGAGAGGAGACUGGAAUU